Frieseomelitta varia is the source of this 1626-nucleotide long non-coding RNA. RefSeq lists it as uncharacterized. NCBI's taxonomy places the organism in Eukaryota, Metazoa, Arthropoda, Insecta, Hymenoptera, Apidae. The record is from RefSeq and is a predicted model, not a curated record. The transcript is spliced from 4 exons.
CGGGAGGCUGGUCGUAGGGGCGCACCUGUCAAUAGCCAGCGGAGAUUCCGGAUUUCGUUGGACGUCUCGAGGACGCGAUGCCAAGUGUCCGGCAAACAGAGCGGGGCCGUGACACCCGACGGAGAGCCACUCCUCGUUACGUAACUCAAGUGUGCAAAGAGAAAGCAAGAAGAAAAGAACAUCGUUCCGCGGCUACUUUCUCGCAGCGUUUCGGCCGGCGAGCAGCGUUACGUUAACGUUACGUCGCCUCGGAACGUCGUUCCGUCGCGGUGCAACGCAACGAUUAGUAUCGCCGUCGUUGCGAAUAGAGGCUGAGGCGAUCGCGCAUUCCACCGUCUAUGGGCAGGCAUUUUCCUCUCGUUUCUCGCGACAGGAUCGUUAAACAGCUUCGCGAGUAAAUCGAAUAAAUCGCGUAGUAUAGACGAUGAGAGAGUGAAUCGAAAAUUCCCAUCCGCGGAGCCCAUCUAAAUGUCAAAUAACUUUCUAGUUAUUCUAGAGAAUCCGAGGGGUCUCGUAACUCUCCAAACACGUUUCAAACCGGGAAAUCGUUUGUGGCGACUGUGAACGGCCACGGUGUGCAACGCGUGAAAUCCACCUGCACCGCUGGCGGAGUUUCUUCCUCUCUUUCGAAAACACCGGAACGGGCAUCGUCAUCGGGUGAUUUCGGCCGAUUUCGAUCGGGCAACUCUCGCCGCGGAAGCUCCCGAUCCUGCCUGACACGGCGUCGAUUAUCGCUUUGUAAAUUCAAGACCGGCGAUGAUAUUACAGCUCGUCGUGAUAUCACGGCAGAGAAAGCGAAAUAUCAACCAUAGAGACUUGACUCGACGCGAAAAAGGAACAAGGAGCAAGAACGAAUUAUCGGUACAGGAAAGACAGUGACGUUCGCUUGGACCAAAUGUUACACGAGUGGCGAGCACCGAUCAUACCUGGCAAGUGUGUGCAAGUGUAUCGAGGUUCGAACGUUACGCACGAUCGAGAUCGUUUUUACGCAAUCAACGAUACCGACCACUUGGAUCUCGAGCCAUCAAACGACCGGCUUGGUUAACCUAUUAACUGAAAAUGGCGAGUAUAUCUUCGUCAGGAAGAAAUGGCAAUUUGUUUGUGCAACGACGAGAAAAUCCAUCUGUACCACCGCUGUGCGGACACGUUUCGAGUUCCUGUGACAUUUGAACGGUUCGCUGACGUCCAGACGAUCCCGAUGACUUCACCCUUCGUUUUAACACCGUUACUCGAGACCUUUUCCGUAGCCGAUUGCCACGUGAAUGUACCACACGCCUAGAAUCGCUGCCUGUAUAUAGCAGAUCCAACGCAGAACCAAUUUUCUCAUAUUCUUCGAGGAACAGAGUUUCGAGAAACAAGGAGUUCACCUCGAGGCAGGCACAAAGACACACCGGAGCGAGACACGUUCGCGAGGAUCUUUGGAUAUUCGUGGCACGCGGCAACGAAAGAACAAAAUGAGAGAUGGUUAAUUUUAACGUAGCCUUGAGGAUCCAGAGGAUCUAGCAUCGGGAUGAUAGCUGUUGCAAACCAGUUGCAAAGGUGAACCGGACGAUUCGCCGAUGCGUCGUUGUAACGACUUCGAAUUAUCUCCCUAAUUAUUGUUGAGAAAUGUUUCAUUCGAUCGUG